UAAGGGCGCACGGUGGAUGCCUUGGCACUAGAAGCCGAUGAAGGACGUUACUAACGACGAUAUGCUUUGGGGAGCUGUAAGUAAGCUUUGAUCCAGAGAUUUCCGAAUGGGGAAACCCAGCAUGAGUUAUGUCAUGUUAUCGAUAUGUGAAUACAUAGCAUAUCAGAAGGCACACCCGGAGAACUGAAACAUCUUAGUACCCGGAGGAAGAGAAAGAAAAUUCGAUUCCCUUAGUAGCGGCGAGCGAAACGGGAAGAGCCCAAACCAACAAGCUUGCUUGUUGGGGUUGUAGGACACUCUAUACGGAGUUACAAAGGACGACAUUAGACGAAUCAUCUGGAAAGAUGAAUCAAAGAAGGUAAUAAUCCUGUAGUCGAAAAUGUUGUCUCUCUUGAGUGGAUCCUGAGUACGACGGAGCACGUGAAAUUCCGUCGGAAUCUGGGAGGACCAUCUCCUAAGGCUAAAUACUCUCUAGUGACCGAUAGUGAACCAGUACCGUGAGGGAAAGGUGAAAAGCACCCCGGAAGGGGAGUGAAAUAGAACCUGAAACCGUGUGCUUACAAGUAGUCAGAGCCCGUUAAUGGGUGAUGGCGUGCCUUUUGUAGAAUGAACCGGCGAGUUACGAUUUGAUGCAAGGUUAAGCAGUAAAUGUGGAGCCGUAGCGAAAGCGAGUCUGAAUAGGGCGUUUAGUAUUUGGUCGUAGACCCGAAACCAGGUGAUCUACCCUUGGUCAGGUUGAAGUUCAGGUAACACUGAAUGGAGGACCGAACCGACUUACGUUGAAAAGUGAGCGGAUGAACUGAGGGUAGCGGAGAAAUUCCAAUCGAACCUGGAGAUAGCUGGUUCUCUCCGAAAUAGCUUUAGGGCUAGCCUCAAGUGAUGAUUAUUGGAGGUAGAGCACUGUUUGGACGAGGGGCCCCUCUCGGGUUACCGAAUUCAGACAAACUCCGAAUGCCAAUUAAUUUAACUUGGGAGUCAGAACAUGGGUGAUAAGGUCCGUGUUCGAAAGGGAAACAGCCCAGACCACCAGCUAAGGUCCCAAAAUAUAUGUUAAGUGGAAAAGGAUGUGGCGUUGCCCAGACAACUAGGAUGUUGGCUUAGAAGCAGCCAUCAUUUAAAGAGUGCGUAAUAGCUCACUAGUCGAGUGACACUGCGCCGAAAAUGUACCGGGGCUAAACAUAUUACCGAAGCUGUGGAUUGUCCUUUGGACAAUGGUAGGAGAGCGUUCUAAGGGCGUUGAAGCAUGAUCGUAAGGACAUGUGGAGCGCUUAGAAGUGAGAAUGCCGGUGUGAGUAGCGAAAGACGGGUGAGAAUCCCGUCCACCGAUUGACUAAGGUUUCCAGAGGAAGGCUCGUCCGCUCUGGGUUAGUCGGGUCCUAAGCUGAGGCCGACAGGCGUAGGCGAUGGAUAACAGGUUGAUAUUCCUGUACCACCUAUAAUCGUUUUAAUCGAUGGGGGGACGCAGUAGGAUAGGCGAAGCGUGCGAUUGGAUUGCACGUCUAAGCAGUAAGGCUGAGUAUUAGGCAAAUCCGGUACUCGUUAAGGCUGAGCUGUGAUGGGGAGAAGACAUUGUGUCUUCGAGUCGUUGAUUUCACACUGCCGAGAAAAG
This 1609-nucleotide ribosomal RNA is filed under the name Staphylococcus aureus. Its description in RNAcentral is "partial 23S ribosomal RNA". It matches the Rfam family "Bacterial large subunit ribosomal RNA", at positions 12 to 1617 of the family's 2925-position model. The record is from RNAcentral. Lineage: Bacteria; Bacillati; Bacillota; Bacilli; Caryophanales; Staphylococcaceae.